UCCAGGGUAGCCUAGUGGACAUGGCAUCUGCCCGGUAAGCGGAACAUUGUGGGUUCGAUUUCCUUCCCUGGAC
This 73-nucleotide transfer RNA is filed under the name Cordylochernes scorpioides. RNAcentral describes it as "tRNA-Thr". It matches the Rfam family "tRNA". Rfam says of the family: Transfer RNA (tRNA) molecules are approximately 80 nucleotides in length. Their secondary structure includes four short double-helical elements and three loops (D, anti-codon, and T loops). The record is from RNAcentral. Lineage: Eukaryota; Metazoa; Arthropoda; Arachnida; Pseudoscorpiones; Chernetidae.